UUGUUGUCCACUGAGAACCGCCACGUCUUCCCUCUGUUUCGAUUCCGUUUGGUAGUUGUUCUGGCGCUCGGUUCUGAAUGUCAAUGGUGAUUUAGUUCUAGGUCUUUUCCCCAAAUCCUAAUUCCCGUUCUCGGCUGCUAUCCUGCUAUUCCGACGAGUGUUCUGACUUCUCUGAUGAUGUGCAGAUUUUGAUUGCCUUGUGAACUUGAUUCAGAUUAUCAGAUGUUAAGUCAGUCAACCAUGUGUUUGCGUGCCAUGUAAAUUUCCAUCGCCAUGGGGUUAACCUGUUUCUACAAAUUAAAGUAACUUGAUUAAGGUGUUAAAUCUGUCAAGCGGUCAGUCACAGUACUGAGCAGUCAACCAUGUCCUGAUUUAGAGAAGUAACAUUUUUUUUGAAAUAGAAGAACAUGCAGUCCUUUUACAAAUGAAAGAGAGGCAAAGAAAGUGUUGAACAAGAACAACUAUCAGCACAACAUGUUGUGAGUUGCACAUCCUUUUUUGCAUUCAUUUUGAAAAAUGACCCCUUCUUAGUUGCUUGUCACGCUCGGCCACUGGUUGCAGGUCUAUGUUCUGGUGGAAUCGUUGAUUUCUAAGGAGGAGAGGAAGAGAAUACAGGGGACUGCGUCCUCAGAUUCUCAGGGUCCGGUCAUAGUGGCUUCAAGCUUUAUUUUUAACCUUCUUGUAGUAAUGGAUAAUUACAAGAACAUUCCUCAAUUCCUCUAUGGCUUAAGCCCAUCUCAGAUGGAAAUGUCUAAAACUGACGACAACCCUUAUAAUCGGCAGUCAAGGAAAGUUACAGAGAAAUCUUGGAUUCAUAAAUGGGAGAAGCACAUAAGGGAGAAGAAGAUGAUUGCAAGGAUGGAGAGGGAGUAAAUCAUUUGGAGGGAUAGAAUGCCACUGUUUGGUGUUUUUAUGCAUUUUUGUUUGCUUUCAACUGUGUUUGCACUAGCUGGGAAUAAGUGACUAGGCAAUAAGUGUAGAUGUAUGGAUAUGCUCUAAUGCUCCUGGUUUACUAUAAAUCUUCGAUUUGGAAUGAUGUGUAAUGGUGUGUAAUGCUGCUGGUUUUCUAACGGUUGGGCAUGAUGGAUGUUGCAGGUUCAUUGAUGACGGCCAAGGGUUCAUGCUCGGAAAGGACGACAUCUUGCUCCAUGUUGUCGGCUCAGCUAAAGUCCUUAAUCAUGAGGAGAUGGGACACGUCGAUUGUUAGAGUACACUUGACAGAGGUGAUCGACGCUGACUAGCACGGCCCGGUGGCGCUGUGCUCUUCAACCACUCGGAGACGGACUUCGCCGUGAAGCCUUGUUCCCACGUCGCACAGAUGAUCGUCCAGGUGAUUUCGACACCGGAGGUCGCUGAGGUGGAGGACCUUGACGCCACCGUCCGGGGGAGGGAGGAUUCGAGUCCACCAACGUCUGAACUCCGAGCCUAGGUAGAUACAUCUAGAGAAGUGGUCUGUUUAGGUUGGUGGUAGACCACUAGGGAAGGUACCCACCUUACGAUGAUGGUUGUGUGUGUCUGAUGUUAAAUGGAAUCUUGAGAUGGUUUUGUGACAUGUUAAAUGGAAUAUUGAGAUGGUUCAGUGACAUUCGUUUGUUUUGCA
Molecule: non-coding RNA, 1600 nt
Organism: Aegilops tauschii subsp. strangulata
Lineage: Eukaryota; Viridiplantae; Streptophyta; Magnoliopsida; Poales; Poaceae
Source: RefSeq, a predicted model, not a curated record